CGGCGUGUAGCGCAGCUUGGUAGCGCACUACAAUGGGGUUGUAGGGGUCGAAGGUUCAAAUCCUUUCACGCCGACCA
This 77-nucleotide transfer RNA is filed under the name Gammaproteobacteria bacterium. Its description in RNAcentral is "tRNA-Pro". It matches the Rfam family "tRNA". From Rfam's summary of the family: Transfer RNA (tRNA) molecules are approximately 80 nucleotides in length. Their secondary structure includes four short double-helical elements and three loops (D, anti-codon, and T loops). The record is from RNAcentral. Lineage: Bacteria; Pseudomonadati; Pseudomonadota; Gammaproteobacteria.